This 968-nucleotide ribosomal RNA is filed under the name uncultured bacterium. RNAcentral's name for it is "bacterial SSU rRNA". It matches the Rfam family "Bacterial small subunit ribosomal RNA", at positions 535 to 1504 of the family's 1533-position model. The record is from RNAcentral.
CGAGCGUUGUCCGGAAUUACUGGGUGUAAAGGGCCCGUAGGCGGUUAUUUAAGUCAGCUGUGAAAGUCCAGGGCUUAACCCUGGAAUUGCAAUUGAAACUGAAUAACUUGAGAUAAGGAGAGGAGAGCGGAAUUCCUAGUGUAGCGGUGAAAUGCGUAGAUAUUAGGAAGAACACCAGUGGCGAAGGCGGCUCUCUGGCCUUACCCUGACGCUGAGGGGCGAAAGCGUGGGUAGCGAACAGGAUUAGAUACCCUGGUAGUCCACGCCGUAAACGAUGAGUGCUAGGUGUUGGGUGUCAAAGCUCAGUGCCGGAGUUAACACAAUAAGCACUCCACCUGGGGAGUACGACCGCAAGGUUGAAACUCAAAGGAAUUGACGGGGGCCCGCACAAGCAGCGGAGCAUGUGGUUUAAUUCGAAGCAACGCGAAGAACCUUACCAGGACUUGACAUCGUCUGCUAGUUCAAGAGAUUGGACCUUCCCUUCGGGGACAGAUAGACAGGUGGUGCAUGGUUGUCGUCAGCUCGUGUCGUGAGAUGUUGGGUUAAGUCCCGCAACGAGCGCAACCCCUGUAUUUAGUUGCCAUCAGGUAGAGCUGGGCACUCUAGAUAGACUGCCGUAGAGAAUACGGAGGAAGGUGGGGAUGACGUCAAAUCAUCAUGCCCCUUAUGUCCUGGGCUACACACGUGCUACAAUGGUCUGUACAACGGGAAGCGAAGGAGUGAUCUGGAGCCAAUCCCAAAAAACAGAUCCCAGUUCGGAUUGCAGGCUGCAACUCGCCUGCAUGAAGUCGGAGUUGCUAGUAAUCGCGGAUCAGCAUGCCGCGGUGAAUGCGUUCCCGGGCCUUGUACACACCGCCCGUCACACCACGAGAGUUGGCAACACCCGAAGUCAGUGAGUUAACCAUAAAGGAGACAGCUGCCGAAGGUGGGGCUAGCGAUUGGGGUGAAGUCGUAACAAGGUAACCGUA